Molecule: ribosomal RNA, 466 nt
Filed under: uncultured soil bacterium
Lineage: Bacteria
Description: bacterial SSU rRNA
Rfam family: Bacterial small subunit ribosomal RNA
Source: RNAcentral
AGAUUGAACGCUGGCGGAAUGCUUUACACAUGCAAGUCGAGCGGCAGCGCGGGGGCAACCCUGGCGGCGAGCGGCGAACGGGUGAGUAAUACAUCGGAACAUGUCCAGUUGUGGGGGGAUAGCCCGGCGAAAGCCGGAUUAAUACCGCAUGAGCUCGAGAGAGGAAAGCGGGGGACCGUAAGGCCUCGCGCGACUGGGUUGGCCGAUGUCCGAUUAGCUAGUGUGGGUAAAGCCUACAAGGCGAUGAUCGGUAGCUGGUCUGAGAGGAUGAUCAGCCACACUGGGACUGAGACACGGCCCAGACUCCUACGGGAGGCAGCAGUGGGGAAUUUGGACAAGUGGGGGCAACCCGUGAUCCAGCCAUUCCGCGUGAGUGAAGAAGGCCUUCGGGUUGUAAAGUCUCGUUUUGUCCGGAGCGGAACGGUUACGGUGAAUAGUCCGUGACUACGUAGACGGUAACCGGAAG